This 346-nucleotide long non-coding RNA is filed under the name Nicotiana benthamiana. RNAcentral's name for it is "long non-coding RNA (NBEN_LNC041968)". Lineage: Eukaryota; Viridiplantae; Streptophyta; Magnoliopsida; Solanales; Solanaceae. The record is from RNAcentral.
CCUGCAAGGUAUCUCCACUUUUGGUAUAAGAGCUAUGCUAGUUGAGUUUAUAUGAGUAAGUAGUUGCCCAUUGUCAAGGAAUUCCAGCAUUGCAUUUCUCAGCUCCUUACCACCAAUUGACCAUGAUGCUUUAUAAAAUUUACUCCUGUAGCUAUCUAGUCCUGGGCUCUUUAUUUCAUUUAUAUUGAACAUAGCAGCCUUUACUUCUGCAGUUGUAUAUGGCCUUACCAACGCAUUUGUUGAGUAAUUGACAGUGUCUUUCCAUUCUUCAUAAAAAUUUGAAAGGCAUGUGUCACGAACCUACCCUUUGUUCCUAACAGCUCUAGAUAAUAGUCCACAAAUAUCU